This is a long non-coding RNA of Oryctolagus cuniculus (rabbit), 563 nucleotides long. RefSeq lists it as uncharacterized. The record is from RefSeq and is a predicted model, not a curated record. NCBI's taxonomy places the organism in Eukaryota, Metazoa, Chordata, Mammalia, Lagomorpha, Leporidae.
CAUGCCCAUCAGGCCCCCGAUCCGCGCCGCCAUAAAUAGCCCCCGCCUGGCUCGCCCGUUUCUUUGUGCGGUGGGUGCCGGCUCUGCUGUGUGCUGUUGUUCCGCGAUGGAGGAUGGGGCAGGCCGGUGGCCCGCCUCGGCGCAGACUCGCUUGCAUAGGUUCCUGGUGCGUGCCGGCCGCUCCGCAGCGACGUGAUAGCCGGGGGUGUGAGGCGGCCCCCGGUGUUACCAGUGCGAAAAGGAUGAGAGCUUUGGAGACAGCCAGGGGCGGUGCCCCCUGACAGACCGCGGAGGCCUCAGUUGUAGCUGGGCUGACUGAUGGUUCUGUUCCUGCUGCUUCGUCCCUGGGCUGUGACGAGUGCGGAGCGGGCCCUCUGAGUGCAGUGGAGUUUGCUGACAAGGAUGGGGCAGACCAUAGGAACUCAGCGUCUUUGGCGUUUUCCUGAGCGACCAUCAACAAAUGCAAAAAUAAUAGAAAUUUUGAGGCCCCUGCAUGUCAGCUGGAAAGGUUAUGACUACUAAUUUUGUCAAAAGAAUUUCAAUAAAAUAAGUAAAACAAGUAA